This 251-nucleotide unclassified non-coding RNA is filed under the name Hevea brasiliensis (rubber tree). The record is from RNAcentral. Lineage: Eukaryota; Viridiplantae; Streptophyta; Magnoliopsida; Malpighiales; Euphorbiaceae.
AACUCUUUCCAUGCUAUAUAAACUAAUCACUGUUUUAGGCCAGUAAGUAAUCUUCAAUGGAAGAAGACCAAACAUCUACAGCUCUAUUAAAAAUUUAUCUUCCCACGAAUCUCCAGUUGUCAUUUCACCUUAUUGCAACUGCAAAAAUCCCUUCUUUGUACAGACAGACAGAACCCAGCCAAUCACUAAAUCCAGGAUUUCCAUCUUCCGAAUUCAAGACCCGUGUUAAAAUCCUCACACCAUAUUAGGUA